GCGCCUAGAAAAAUGCUACUUUUGCUCCUCUACAAUAUAUCCUGGUAGGGGUUCAACAUUUAUAAGAAAUGACUGCAAAGUUUUUAGAUUUUGCCGAAGUAAAUGUGUCAAAAAUUUUAGAAUGAAACGCAAUCCUCGUAAAGUUCGUUGGACUAAAGCUUACAGGAAAUCUGCCGGAAAAGAAAUGAUAAUUGAUAAAACCUAUGAAUUUGAGAAACGUAGAAAUGUCCCCGUUCGUUAUGAUAGAAAUUUAUGGGCCAAUACCAUCUUGGCAAUGAAAAGAAUUGAAGCUCUUCGAACCAAGCGUCAAAAUCAUUAUAUAGAAGCCCGUGUUAAUAAAUCUUUAGAAAGUCUUCAGGAGCAGAAUGUUAAUGAAAUUAAGAAACAUAUCAACUUAGUUGUUACCCCCGAAGAGAGAAAUACUGCUAAAAUUCAAAAAAUCUCACAAUAUAUCGAAAAC
Zophobas morio is the source of this 460-nucleotide long non-coding RNA. RefSeq lists it as uncharacterized. The transcript has 3 exons. NCBI's taxonomy places the organism in Eukaryota, Metazoa, Arthropoda, Insecta, Coleoptera, Tenebrionidae. The record is from RefSeq and is a predicted model, not a curated record.